RNAcentral lists this unclassified non-coding RNA (278 nucleotides) under rhizosphere metagenome. RNAcentral describes it as "partial ribosomal RNA internal transcribed spacer region". The record is from RNAcentral.
GUAGGUGAACCUGCGGAAGGAUCAUUAUCACGUAUCCACGUAUAAACCAUUGUGAACCGUUUUUUUUAACCUCUGCAAAACAGGGCUGCCUCCUCCCAUGAAUGUAAAAAGUUUGUGUGUGUGUGUGACUGCCCGGCUAGUAACAGAGCGUAUUUACCCUAUUAACCAUUUUAACCAAUCUUUAUAACUUUUAUGAACUAACUUUAUUUUAUACUCUUCGGAGAUAAAAUUCAUUACGAAACAAAGAACAACUCUUAGCAACGGAUAUCUUGGUUCUC